Molecule: ribosomal RNA, 617 nt
Filed under: fungal endophyte
Lineage: Eukaryota; Fungi
Description: eukaryotic LSU rRNA
Rfam family: Eukaryotic large subunit ribosomal RNA (bases 399-617)
Source: RNAcentral
CUUCUUAUAGCUGCUGCCGGUGGACCAUUAAACUCUUGUUAUUUUAUGUAAUCUGAGCGUCUUAUUUUAAUAAGUCAAAACUUUCAACAACGGAUCUCUUGGUUCUGGCAUCGAUGAAGAACGCAGCGAAAUGCGAUAAGUAAUGUGAAUUGCAGAAUUCAGUGAAUCAUCGAAUCUUUGAACGCACAUUGCGCCCAUUAGUAUUCUAGUGGGCAUGCCUGUUCGAGCGUCAUUUCAACCCUUAAGCCUAGCUUAGUGUUGGGAAUCUACUUCUCUUAGGAGUUGUAGUUCCUGAAAUACAACGGCGGAUUUGUAGUAUCCUCUGAGCGUAGUAAUUUUUUUCUCGCUUUUGUUAGGUGCUAUAACUCCCAGCCGCUAAACCCCCAAUUUUUUGUGGUUGACCUCGGAUCAGGUAGGAAUACCCGCUGAACUUAAGCAUAUCAAUAAGCGGAGGAAAAGAAACCAACAGGGAUUGCCUUAGUAACGGCGAGUGAAGCGGCAACAGCUCAAAUUUGAAAUCUGGCCCUUGGGUCCGAAUUGUAAUUUGUANAGGAUGAUUUUGGUGCGGGAUCNNCCGAGUUCCUUGGAACAGGACGCCUUUAGAGGGUGAGAGCCCC